RNAcentral lists this long non-coding RNA (600 nucleotides) under Ananas comosus (pineapple). Its description in RNAcentral is "long non-coding RNA (ACOM_LNC038402)". The record is from RNAcentral. Lineage: Eukaryota; Viridiplantae; Streptophyta; Magnoliopsida; Poales; Bromeliaceae.
CCCGAUGCAAAUAAAAGAAAUGCAAACUCGAAAAGCACAUGAUCAAUUUGUUUUGAGGUUCGGCACUUUGCUUACGUCCCUGCCAACUUCUCAACACUCGAGAAUGUUGGAUCUCCACUAGAUGAUGCUUUUGCGGGCAAGCACCAAGCCUUCACAUCAACUCCUUCUUCUUUCAAGCUUCAAGAUUUUGCUUUUCUCUCUUUUUACAAGAUUAAAUCUCACUACAAGUUUCACUCAAGUUUAGAGAGAGAAUUGAGAGCUAAGAGUAUUAAGAUCACUGAAGUUUUUAAGCUCAAAUGAACUAUCAAGUUGCUGCAGAGAGAGGCCUCAAUACCAUCUAUUUAUAGCCUCGGACAGCUUCUGUCAGUUGUACUUUCGGGCGCCCUAAACUUUUUCCGGGCGCCCAGAAGUUGUGCACGCCAGCCGCCUGUCGGACACGUGCGCCGCUUUUCUUGACUUUGUAUGUUUGGGCCGUCAAAAGUUGUGGGCGCCCAAAACACGAGGAACAGCUUUUCUGACACGCGCCGCCUUCUCUGGAUUUGGGCUGUCAGAAAUUUGUGGGCGCCCAGAUCUCGAGGGACAACUUUUCUGACACGCGCC